GACGAACGCUGGCGGCGUGCUUAACACAUGCAAGUCGAACGGAAAGGCCCUGCUUUUGUGGGGUGCUCGAGUGGCGAACGGGUGAGUAAAACGUGAGUAAACUGUCCUUGACUUUGGGAUAAAUUCAGGAAACAGGGGCUAAUACCGGAUAGGAGCUCCUGAUGCACGGUGGGGGUUGGAAAGAUUCGGCGGUUGGGGAUGGACUAGCGGCUUAUCAGCUUGUUGGUGGGGUAGUGGCUUACCAAGGCUUUGACGGGUAGGCGGCCUGAGAGGGUGACCGGCCACAUUGGGACUGAGAUACGGCCCAGACUCCUACGGGAGGCAGCAGGGGGGAAUAUUGCACAAUGGGCGGAAGCCUGAUGCAGCAACGCCGCGUGCGGGAUGACGGCCUUCGGGUUGUAAACCGCUUUCGCCUGUGACGAAGCGUGAGUGACGGUAAUGGGUAAAGAAGCACCGGCUAACUACGUG
Molecule: ribosomal RNA, 468 nt
Filed under: uncultured bacterium
Lineage: Bacteria
Description: partial 16S ribosomal RNA
Rfam family: Bacterial small subunit ribosomal RNA
Source: RNAcentral